Molecule: long non-coding RNA, 231 nt
Filed under: Arabidopsis lyrata
Lineage: Eukaryota; Viridiplantae; Streptophyta; Magnoliopsida; Brassicales; Brassicaceae
Description: long non-coding RNA (ALYR_LNC003300)
Source: RNAcentral
CGGCAAAAAGUCGUUCACAAGUCGUUCAUUGCUUCUUUCUUAAUCUUCUCUAUUUGACGAGUCAAUGAUCUCUGAUCUUCAUUUUUAUUCAACUCUGAAAGUUUAAUCGUUUUCUUUAUCUCUACCGCUUAAGAGUCUGAGAUGUCUCCUCUUCUUGAUUCUUCGACACCAAAAAGGCAGUGACUUCACGAGCCAUAGAUCUCUGUACUUCUUUCUUCUUCAACUCCGAAC